AUUGAACGCUGGCGGCAUGCCUUACACAUGCAAGUCGAACGGCAGCACGGGAGCAAUCCUGGUGGCGAGUGGCGAACGGGUGAGUAAUAUAUCGGAACGUGCCCAGUCGUGGGGAUAACGUAGCGAAAGCUACGCUAAUACCGCAUACGAUCUAUGAAUGAAAGCGGGGGAUCGCAAGACCUCGCGCGAUUGGAGCGGCCGAUAUCAGAUUAGGUAGUUGGUGAGGUAAAGGCUCACCAAGCCGACGAUCUGUAGCUGGUCUGAGAGGACGACCAGCCACACUGGGACUGAGACACGGCCCAGACUCCUACGGGUGGCAGCAGUGGGGAAUUUUGGGACAAUGGGCGCAAGCCUGAUCCAGCAAUGCCGCGUGCAGGAUGAAGGCC
RNAcentral lists this ribosomal RNA (386 nucleotides) under uncultured bacterium. RNAcentral's name for it is "bacterial SSU rRNA". It matches the Rfam family "Bacterial small subunit ribosomal RNA", at positions 30 to 416 of the family's 1533-position model. The record is from RNAcentral.